RNAcentral lists this ribosomal RNA (292 nucleotides) under uncultured bacterium. Its description in RNAcentral is "partial 16S ribosomal RNA". It matches the Rfam family "Bacterial small subunit ribosomal RNA", at positions 505 to 796 of the family's 1533-position model. The record is from RNAcentral.
GUGCCAGCAGCCGCGGUAAUACGAAGGGUGCAAACGUUGCUCGGAAUCAUUGGGCGUAAAGCGCACGUAGGCGGCUCCACAAGUCGGAUGUGAAAUCCCUCGGCUCAACCGAGGACGUGCAUCCGAAACUGUGGGGCUUGAGUACAGAAGAGGAUCGCGGAAUUCCCGGUGUAGAGGUGAAAUUCGUAGAUAUCGGGAGGAACACCAGUGGCGAAGGCGGCGAUCUGGGCUGAUACUGACGCUGAGGUGCGAAAGCGUGGGGAGCAAACAGGAUUAGAUACCCCCGUAGUCC